This 7704-nucleotide long non-coding RNA is filed under the name Gossypium raimondii (Peruvian cotton). RNAcentral's name for it is "long non-coding RNA (GRAI_LNC009567)". The record is from RNAcentral. Lineage: Eukaryota; Viridiplantae; Streptophyta; Magnoliopsida; Malvales; Malvaceae.
AUAUUUUCCUUUGGAAACUCUCUAAACAAUAUGGUUCUCUCCUGUCCUUACGACUUGGAUUUAGGCCAACCCUUGUAGUUUCUUCAGCAAAAAUGGCUAAAGAGGUUAUGAAAACUCGUGACCUCGACUUCUGCAGCAGGCCUAAUCUAUGUGCUAUUCGCAAAUUAUCUUACAAUACAUCGGAUUUGUCUUUUUCACCAUACAGUGAGUCCUGGAAGGAGAUUAGGAAAAUUUGUGUUAUACAUCUGUUCAGCAGAGUGCGAAAGUAUCGUUCCAUUCGAGAAGACGAAGUUGCUCACCUGGUUGAGAAAAUACGUCGAUUAUCCGUUGAUUCUAAGCCUGUCAACUUGAGUGAGGCAAUGGUGUGCUUAUCCUGUUCAAUAAUUUCAAGAGUGGGCUUCGGUAAGACUUACGAUGAAGAAGGAGCUGAAGGAAGUAGGUUACAUGGGCUGAUUAAAGAAAGUGUAGCCAUGUUUACAAGCUUUAGUUUUUCUGACUGUUUUCCUUUCAUGGGUUGGGUUGAUAGAUUCACUGGGUUUCACGCUCGUCUUGAAAAAUUUUUCAUAGAACUUGAUACCUUCUAUCAACAACUCAUUGAUGAACAUCUUAAUCCGAAUAGGCUAAAACCAGAGCAAGAGGACAUACUCGAUGUGCUAUUACAGACAUGGAAGGACCGUGAUUUUCUAUUUGAUCUUACCCUAGAUCACAUAAAAGCUGUUAUUAUGGUUAUUUCAUCUUCACCCAAAGCGUUUAUUAUUAGCUUCACGCUUUAUGUAUCAUAACUUUGAUUUUUUUUAACUUCUGCAGGAUGUUCUUUUUGCUGGAACGGAGACAACUGCGGUUACUGUGAUUUGGGUCAUGAGCUUCUUGAUGAAAAAUCCAGAGUGUUUGAAGAAAGCUCAAGAGGAAGUAAGGGAUUUGAUUGGGAAAAAUAGAUUUCUAAACGAAGAUGAUGUUCAAGCUUUAACUUACCUAAAGGCUGUGGUAAAAGAAACAUUCAGAUUGCAACCAACACUUCCAUUGUUGCUACCACGAGAAACACUUCGAAAAUGCUGCAUAGGUGGGUACCAAGUACCUGCCAAUACCUUGGUGUAUGUGAAUGCAUGGGCAAUAGGAAGAGACCCUGAAGCUUGGAGAAACCCUGAAGAAUUUUGUCCUGAAAGGUUCAUUGGCAGCUCUAUUGACUACAAAGGGCUCAACUUUGAGCUCAUACCGUUUGGUGCGGGUAGAAGGGUUUGCCCUGGAAUGCAUAUGGCAGUUGCAGCAGUGGAGCUUGUUCUUGCUAAUCUUCUUUACAAGUUUGAUUGGGAAAUGCCGACCGAAAUGAACAAGGAAAACUUAAACUUUGAUGGCACGCCUGGCUUAGUUACGCACAAAAAAGAUGCUCUUAUCCUUGUGGCUGGGAAGAUUAAUGAUUAAUCAGUGUAUCAUUAUAGUAACUUAUUUGAUGCUUAUUGCUCUAGUUUCUACUUUGUACAGUUUCAUCUUGAACACUUAUCAAACGUUAGAAACACCUCGCUUGUUUAAUUAACCUGCAAUUACUGCUAUGUUUGUCAAGCUACCAUCUCAAUUGAAUAUAUAUAUAUAUAUAUAUAUUGCAAAAAGCAAUUUAUAUAUAUCUGCAAAUAUACAAAUAUGUGUUAUCCAUUAACCAUUAUUAUCCUUACAUAUAUAGUAUGAAGGAAUAUUGUAUUUCUCAGUUGGUGUGUGGUACAAUUAACAAACACUAGUUUUCAUUCUUUAAUCGCACAGGUUAGUUGUAUGUAUUACAUAUACGAAUGAAAUAAUGUAUUCUUACAAAUAUGCACAUAGCUUACAAGAUUAAGCAUUAAACUAGGUUCAAACCAAAACAUUAUUCACAAGAAACACAUAGAUAAACACCUAAGUUCAUGCCACAAUAUCGAGUUACAAAAUGAGCAAAAGUUUAUUGAGGUGAUAGGUGAAUAGUAUGAGCUUCAAGGCGAUCCGAACGACACGAUCCGCAAACCGACAAUCUACAGAAAAAGGAAAAACACUGGGUAAGCAUUUCGAAUACUUAAUAAGCCCAUAUAAAACUUACUCAACUUACCUUAACAUUUUAACAAUUAGGUAAAUGUACUACAUUGAAAUCAAGCUUAAAAUUCCUUUUGCAUCACAUUCCUCUAUAUGCAAUUCAAUAAACACAUCAAUGGUUAGUUCAAUUCCAUAGCACAAGUUUAUAUCACAAUCAUAUAAAUGCAGAAAUUUCCAUCACACAACAUAUAUAAACUACUUUAUAUUUAAAACUUUAACAUGUAUAAUUCUAUUUACAUAUGUAUUCAUUUCUAUUUUCACCCAGAGAACUCUAGUAAAUUGAACUAGGAUACACGACAUUGAUUUAAUUACAUAUGUUGACAUUACCGGGCUACUAACACUAGCUUAGUACGAUGCUAUAAACAUUAGCUUCAGAGAACCGCAACAUAUGUUGGAUCUCAAGUCAUCAUAUCAAUUUCUCAUUUUUCUUUUCUGUAUCAUUUCAAACCCUAUAACCAUAUACACACUUUUCAUAUAUCGAAUGGUAAUUCAUAUACAUCUUAACUUUGUAACAUCAUCAUAUACACAUCUUCUAAUAUUAUAACAAUUUCACAUCAUUCGAUAUCAUAUAUUUCAUAAUUUACAAUUUAGUUCAUUCGAUGCCAAAGAUCAUUGAAAUUACAAUUAACCUAAAUUAAUAAACACUAUUGUAACAAGCCAAAUUCAUCCGGCCCAAACCCAAACAAAACAAACCAAAAAACAGUUAAAACAAAAAAUAAAUAAAAGUCCAUUAACACUCCAAAUUACAAGCCUAAAACCCAAUCUACUAACCUAAACCCCAAGCCCAAAUACAAAAAAAAAACCCUAAAGCCCAAUAGCCAACUAUCCUAAACUAAAAAAAAAAAAAAACCCUAAAAGUCCCUAUGCCUCUAGCCGCCGUCCUCACCACAUUAGCAGGCAUGUCGUCUAAGGCCUGGCACCUCCUCGUCCUUGCCACCACCGCCCGCAAAAAACAGAGAAAUAGAGACAAAGAAGCAGAGAAAAGAAAGAAAAAAUAUUAUCAUUUUGUAAUAUAUUUCGGCUAUAAAAGCCGAAAAUAGAUUGUAACAAAAAAAAUUUGGCAGAGAAUACAAAAAAAAAACCAAGUUAAAAAAGGUGUUUCUUUUAUUUAAUCUACUAUUUUAUUUUACUUUUUUUCAUAAAAAGCAUAUAAAAUAAUGAACAAGGUUUAAAAAAAACUUACCUCAAUAUCGCUUCAUCUUCCACCACCGUCGUUGAUGGCUUUCUGCCAAUUCGAAUGGUCUAUGAACCCAUUAGGGUUCGUCAAUGGCCUCGACGGAGAAGAGGAAAAUAGAAUACAACAAAAAAAAAAAAACAAAGGUAGUCAAUCUUUUUUUUAUACCUUUUUAUUUCGUAAAAUAUAAAAAUAAAAAAAUAUAUAUUUAAAUUUUUUUACCUGUUAAGCGCCUUCAUAGAAUCCCUUCCUCCGACUCGAAAAGCCUCGGAACCCCUAGGGUUCCGUUGAGGGCCUCGUCGGAGAAGGGAGAAACUGAAAGGAUUCUUUUCCUUCGACUAAACCUCGACUAAAUUUCUAGGGAUUUAAACCCCAAAUAUGUAUUCUACUCGAAAAGAGGGUCAAAAGGGCCUAUUUUGGGGAACUCUAGCCACCGAAGGCGGCAAUCUCCGUCGUUGAUAACCGGUGGCCACGGUGGAGACCCACCAUCUCAUGGCCGGACAAAAAGGGGGUUGAGAGAGUAGAAGAGUUUUUUUUUUUUUAAAAAGGUUACAAAUGAUUUUUUUUAAAAGAUUUUUUUGACUUAUAUAAGCUCCUUAAAACAGCGUCAUUUUGGGUUUGUCUUCAAACGCCCAAAACGGUGUCAUUUCAAGCCUAAUCCGAAUUCUGACCCGACCCUUCCUAAGAUCUGCGUGUUUUUGAACGGAGGGGCUAAUUGCCAUUUUGGUUCUUCCACCUUUUUGCCCCUUUUUAAUCUUGUCCUAUUUCUUUUUUAUUUAUUUUAAUUUUACCCCUUUUAAUUUAUUUUCUUACAUUUUAGUCCCUUGACCUACUGUUGACCCACUGAGGGUGACACGUGUACUGGGGUUGGGGAAAAUAGCACACUAGGUGGCUAUAUUUUUCCACUUUGUUUUAAUUUAAUCCUUUUUUUUCUUGCAAUUCGGACUUUAAAAUGUUUUAGGGUUUCAAUUUAGUCCUUAUUUUUUAUUCGGUCCCUUUACUUUAUGUUAUUUAAAUUCCAGCAUGUUUAAAUUUUUAUUUAUUAUUUUUUCCCUUUAAAUUACGAAAUUUACAUUUUACCCUCAAAUUUCCAAAUUAUUUCCUUUUAGUCUUUUAUUUACUUCUUUGUUUUUUUUUUAAUUUGCACUUUAAAUUUAGUCCUCUAUUCAUUUUAUUCAGCAUAUUUAUUUCUUUUUAAUUCCCUGCACUUUUAAUCUUUGUUAUUUAUAUUUUUUCCCUUCAAAUUGUAUAAUUUGUUAUUUGGUCCUUAAAUAUUAUUAUUAGCACUAAUUAACAUGUUUUUAUAACAUUAUUAUUAGUUAUGAUAUAUUGCAUUAUUUAUGUUCUUAUGACAUCAUAUACAACAUUUAAACAUACUCGUGUAUCUCAUACAGGGUAUUAUGUUCGAAUAAGUCCAUAGUAUGUCAUAUUAGAAGCCUCAUUUUCAUACAUUGUAUAUUUAGCAAUUUGAACCAAGGCGGUGUUCUUUAAUUAGGGGACUCAAGAAAUUGUGCCUCUAACUUACGGAGUACGAUUUUCUCUUUGAACCGAAAUAAUCAAACUUUCAUCCUCUUUUUUUAAAAAAUAAAUUUUAAAAAUACAUAAGAUUUGGGCAAUAAUUAAACGACGAGCGUUCUUAUUUUUGAGAAUUCGAGGUUUUGGGUCCCAACUUACGGGACAUGACCUUUCAUCUUAAUCGGCCCGAAAUGAGAAAACCUCUUCAUUAAAAAUUCAAUUUAGAUAGUGACAUUUUCAGCGCCAUCAAAUAACAUCAUGUAAAAAGGGAUCUCAUUUUAAAUUCUCUUCGGAUUCUCAAUUUUUGACGUCAAGAUAUUAAGUAAUCAACUAGGUACUAAUUUUGGGCAUUAUGACGGUGUUAAUCAUUCCUCAUACGUAACCGACUCCCGAACCCAUUUCCUGAAUUUUGUAGACCGAAAAUCAUCUUUUUAGUAAAUCUAACAUUUUAUUAAAAUGACCAAGUUUUGAGGUGGUCUAAUCACACCUAAUUAAAAAGGAUUGGUGGCGACUCCAUUUUCACUUUAAAAUAACAAGUCGAUUGCCAAAAAGGUUUCGACAAUUAUAAUAUAAUUCAAACAUAACAUAAAAUAACAUAGUUAGUUCCAUAUGAGCUUACCUGGAAAAACAGCAAGCAAACAAGGUGUUAAGGACUAAUCUACAAUUUCUCCUUUUUUUCGAUUAUCUUUCAAUUGAUUCAAAUUUUGAUCUAUAAUAAUUUAUUACAAUUUAUCAUUUCUAAACAUCUAUUAACAAUCUACUUUAACCAUAAAUCAGUUCAAUUUCUUUUUUUGAAUUUUUUAAAUUUUAAAUUUUAUUCAAUUUAGUCCCUAAAAUCAAAAUAGCUAUAACUUUCAAAUUUGAGCCUCGAUUUUGAAAUCAAUCUCAAUUCCAUUCUUCUACAGCCCUCUAAUAACUAUAUUUAUAGAAAUUUCACACAAAAUUUGAAAUUAUUACAUUUUAGUCCCUAAGUUCAAAACUAACAUUUUUCACUUUACAAACUAGUUAUUUUUCAAAUCUAAGUUUAAAAUUAAACUAUUGAACACUAAAACUUCAAGCAUUCAUCAAUUGCAUCAUUUAUAAACUUUAACAAUUUCGGAAAGUAAUACUUGAGUUAACUAAAUCAAACUGUAAUGAUAUCAAAAACAUAAAUUUUACAAAAAAAAAUGAAUUUUUAAUUUAGUUACAUGCAAGGGCAGAAGACCUUAAAAACAAAACAAUGGCUUCUUCUUUUUCUUCCUCCUACAAUGGGGGAUGAUGGGAAAAUAAAAGAUGGUGACUUUCAUUUUAUUUUAUUCUUUUAACUUAUUAUAUUUUUAAUUUUAUUUUAUCAAAUCCUCCAACCACCCGUCCACUAACAUAUAAAAUGGCUUAUUUUCCAUUUUGUACCAUGGUUUAAUUACUACUUUAGUCAUUUAGCAAUUACAAAUCUAUAGCAAUUAACUUUUGUUGUUUUUAUGAUUUAGUCAUUGUACUCUAAUUAGCUAUCUAAACAGCAAAAUUAAUGGGCCAAACUUCAAUUAAAUUUUAUACUAACCUCGUAAAUAUUAUAUUUAAUAUUUAUGGACUGGCUCGUCGAAAAUGGGGUUCUGAAACUACUGUUUCUGACACCACUGACUUUCAGGUCGAAACACCUGUACAUUAACUAACUAUCCAAUUAACAAAAUCGUCAAACCAAAAUUUAAUAUAAUACUCAAAUUAACUCACAAAUAUUAAUUAAUAAUAUUUACGAAUUUGAUCAUCGGAGAACGGGAUUUCGAAACCACUAAAAAAUAGGUUGUUAUAAUAUAAUAUUAAAAGUGCAUGAUUAUAUAAAUAUUGUUUUUUUAUACGGUAUAAAUAUUGUUUAAAUUUUUAAAAACUGUAUGAAAUUUUUAAAAGUUUUUUUUAGGUAAUAUGUUUCUAAACUAUUAUUUCUUAAUUUUAAAAUAAAAAAAGUAUAUUUUUAUAUUAAUAUAAGCUUUAACAGUAUUUGAAUGAAAAAUAAAGGUUUGCAUAUUUUCAAAUUAAUUAUAAAUAAUUUUUUAAUUUUAUUAUAAUUUUUUAAUAAGUUGAAAUUCGAAUCAGAAUUUAAAAACAAAACAACUUAAUUUAGAAGAAUAUUGGGUGCAUAUUCCACAAAAUAGAAAUGAUCAUAAUAAGAAUAUAUAAUUUUUCUGAUUACAUUACUAAUACUAAAAAAUGAAUAUAUAUUAGGCGCAUCGACACGUUACAUUUCACAAAAUAGAAAAAUUGGAAAGCGACAUAUACCCACAAACUCUAAUCAUAUUUAAUAAAGUGGUGGAUAUUUUUUCAAUUAAUGCCACUGAUAAUGAUGCUUCUUUUAACUCAUUCUCCUAAAACAUUGUAUUAGCCAUAAUGCCAAUUUUAUUCUCCAUUCAGUCUUUUCUUGUUUCCUCAUCUAAAUGACAAGCUUUCAUUUUCUUUAAACUUAAAAAAAUGAUUGAAAAAGAGUAGGAUAUAGUAGACUCUUCCUCUCAAGUUUCAAACAAAUUUGAGCAGAUAUUUAGAAUGGCAAUAGCACUGUUUACAUUCAUCUUUCUUCUAGCUCUCCCUUUCUUCCUCUUCAUAACUCCCCUGAAACGUAGCAUUAGCAACCAUGGCGAUUGCAAUCAUCUUCCCCCAGGCCCUCCAAGUCUUUCCUUGAUUGGUCACUUACAUAUGUUGAUGUUUGAUAACUCAGACCUCCUUCAUAUUUUCCUUUGGAAACUCUCUAAACAAUAUGGUUCUCUCCUGUCCUUACGAUUUGGAUGUAGGCCAACCCUUGUAGUUUCUUCAGCAAAAAUGGCUAAAGAGGUUAUGAAAACUCGUGACCUCGACUUCUGCAGCAGGCCUACUCUAUGUGCUAUUCGCAAAUUAUCUUACAAUGUCUCGGAUUUGUCUUUUUCACCGUACAGUGAGUAUUGGAAGGAGAUUAGGAAAAUUUGUGUUGUACAUCUGUUCAGCAGAGUGCAAAAGUACCG